CUCUGUUUAGCAUAACGAUAUCAAGUGCUGGGAGCACGCUAUGGUCCCGACACGCCUAAAGCAAUAACUUCGCCCUUUAUAGGCAAGCACAUCUGCUCGUCUGCAUCUGGACCACUUCUCCUGCGAGCCACUUCAACACUAGCAGACGAAGAUCACGGCGUUGAUUCACUGACUCUAUCUAGGAGUCUGCGAAGAGGGGUCCUUGCGUCGUGUAUUUUCCAAUACCGGAAUCCAGCUCGAUUCAUGGCAUUGGUUUAUUAUUGCAUGGACAUCCCUGGAAGGGAACCGAGCGCAGAAUAUACCAAGAAACUUACUUACAAUGUAACUGACAACCAACACAUGGGCAUACGCACGUCGCUUCACAUCUCACCGAUCUUCCAAGGUACCUGCAGUGUAUCCGCACGCCAUUAAGAACCCUGAAGUACCCCAGAAAUAUGGCGCCCCAUGCGCGGGAAAUGAAGUGUCCCGCAUGAUUUGUGCAUUAGGGUGAAUGUGUCCAUUCUUUUGGGCGAUCAUGGGAAUUAUGAGAUCAUGCAUGUCUCCAGAAAAAGAAAAGAGCAUAACGGUGUCCAACGCCCUUGACACCAGGA
Molecule: small RNA, 590 nt
Filed under: Histoplasma capsulatum
Lineage: Eukaryota; Fungi; Ascomycota; Eurotiomycetes; Onygenales; Ajellomycetaceae
Also listed under: 1 other name
Description: hypothetical RNA
Source: RNAcentral